GGCUCAGGGUUCUCUGUCCAGUCCUCAGCUGCCCUGGAGCACCCAAGAGGCAGAUUGGCUGGGUGAUGCCUACGUGUUGAGAUCCUGGUCCCUCCACACACGCUCUACCAGCUGCUGCGUGAUGCCCGUGUCCAAGAUCAGGUUGUGCAGAAGGAAGUUGUUGCCUGGAACAGGAGGGGAGGGCUGGGGGUGGGGGCAUCUUCUUGCAGCUCCUUGCCCACCCUCGCCCCCACCCUCAAGGCUCCACCAGGAGCCUCCUCCAUGACCUGGCCCAGGCCCAGCCCUCAGCUUGUGCCUGCUUAUUUCCACACCUGCCCGGCCUCUGGGUUCCUCUGGGCUGCCCCAUGCUGCCUGGGCACUGCCCAGAGCCAGCUGCCCUGCCAGGCACUCACACUGCUUGGAGUCUGGAGUCACUUUCUCCAUGAGCUCAAUAAAGUUUUUCAGGAACUCGG
Molecule: non-coding RNA, 452 nt
Filed under: Pongo abelii (Sumatran orangutan)
Lineage: Eukaryota; Metazoa; Chordata; Mammalia; Primates; Hominidae
Source: RNAcentral